AAAGAUUUAGUUAAACUAUAACAUUAGAAUGUCAAACUAAAAUUAUUAUAAAAUAAUAUUCUUUA
This 65-nucleotide transfer RNA is filed under the name Hydroporus melanarius. RNAcentral's name for it is "tRNA-Asp". Lineage: Eukaryota; Metazoa; Arthropoda; Insecta; Coleoptera; Dytiscidae. The record is from RNAcentral.